AUUUUAUUCUAUGCUAACUUCAACAUGGACACAGAACUUGGUUUCAUAUAAAAGCUUUUAUUACUUCCCUUUGAGACAUGAAAUGAAGGAAAGUUUCGGGAAGAAUUCUUCAUCCCAUCCUCAAGGGCCAGUGGGAAUUUUCAUGCUGGUUGGAAGUAAGAUUGCAGUUGCAUGGAAUUCUUGCCACUUCUCCAAGGAAUACCUGGUUUUGUCACUUUUACCAGCUCCCUUAUCUGAGAAGAAACAUUGAUGGCCUCUCAAGGUAAUACCUAGUUUUUUAUAAA
This 284-nucleotide long non-coding RNA is filed under the name Ursus americanus (American black bear). Its description in RNAcentral is "lncRNA (ENSUAMG00000016261.1)". The record is from RNAcentral. Lineage: Eukaryota; Metazoa; Chordata; Mammalia; Carnivora; Ursidae.